GACGAACGCUGGCGGCGUGCUUAACACAUGCAAGUCGAACGGAAAGGCCCUGCUUGCAGGGUACUCGAGUGGCGAACGGGUGAGUAACACGUGGGUGAUCUGCCCUGCACUUCGGGAUAAGCCUGGGAAACUGGGUCUAAUACCGGAUAGGAGCCAUUUUUAGUGUGAUGGUUGGAAAGUUUUUUCGGUGUAGGAUGAGCUCGCGGCCUAUCAGCUUGUUGGUGGGGUAAUGGCCUACCAAGGCGGCGACGGGUAGCCGGCCUGAGAGGGUGGAAGGCCACAUUGGGACUGAGAUACGGCCCAGACUCCUACGGGAGGCAGCAGUGGGGAAUAUUGCACAAUGGGCGCAAGCCUGAUGCAGCGACGCCGCGUGGGGGAUGACGGCCUUCGGGUUGUAAACUCCUUUCGCUAGGGACGAAGCUUUUUGUGACGGUACCUAGAGAAGAAGCACCGGCUAACUACGUG
This 465-nucleotide ribosomal RNA is filed under the name uncultured bacterium. Its description in RNAcentral is "partial 16S ribosomal RNA". It matches the Rfam family "Bacterial small subunit ribosomal RNA", at positions 28 to 507 of the family's 1533-position model. The record is from RNAcentral.